GUGAAUAAUGAAGGGCGCGCGGUGGAUGCCUUGGCUCUCGGAGGCGAUGAAGGACGCGAUAAGCCGCGAUAGUCCACGACGAGGUGCAAGUAACCCUUGACUCGUGGGUUUCCGAAUGGGGCAACCCGGCUGGAUAGAUUCCAGUCAUCCUGUAAAGGAGGCAAACGCGGGGAACUGAAACAUCUCAUUACCCGCAGGAGAAGAAAACAACAUGUGAUUCCCCCAGUAGUGGCGAGCGAACGGGGAAGAGCCUAAACCGUUGCCGUUUCGGCGACAACGGGGUCAUGGGACCACGUCAUUCGAUUUUUGUUUAAACGCAAUUACCUGGAAAGGUAAGCCGCGGAGGGUGAUAGCCCCGUGCGUGUACAGACAAAAUGAGAUAGUGGAAUCCCGAGUAGGGCGGGACACGAGAAAUCCUGCCUGAAUUCGCCAGGACCCCCUGGCAAGGCUAAAUACUCCCGAGAGACCGAUAGAGAACCAGUACCGCGAGGGAAAGGUGAAAAGAACCCCUAGCAGGGGAGUGAAAUAGACCCUGAACCCGCGCGCCUACAAGCGGUCGGAGCCGGUACGUCCGGUGACGGCGUGCCUUUUGCAUAAUGAGCCUACGAGUUAGUCGUCACCAGCGAGGUUAAAUCCUUCAGGGAUGUUAGCCGAAGUGAAAGCGAGCCUCUAAAGGGCGUGCAGUUGGUGGCGCUAGACGCGAAACCUUGUGAUCUACCCCCGAGCAGGUUGAAGUCGCGGUAACACGUGAUGGAGGACCGAACCGGUAAACGUUGAAAAGUUUUCGGAUGACUCGGGGGUAGGGGUGAAAGGCCAAUCAAACUGGGAAAUAGCUCGUACUCUCCGAAAUGCAUUUAGGUGCAGCCUGUGGUGUUCUGUUCUAGAGGUAGAGCUACUGAUUGGACGCGAGGGCUUCACCGCCUAUCAAAUCCGGAUAAACUCCGAAUGCUAGAACAUCAUAACCAUGGAGUGAGCCCGCGGGUGCUAAGGUCCGCGGACGAGAGGGAAAGAACCCAGACCACCUGCCAAGGUCCCCAAUGGGCGGUUAAGUUGAAAAAACGAGGUGGGAUCGCGAUGACAGCUAGGAUGUUGGCUUGGAAGCAGCCAUUCAUUUAAAGAGUGCGUAACAGCUCACUAGUCGAGUGGUCCCGCGUGGAUAAUACACGGGCAUCAAACCGCCAACCGAAGCAGUGGGGUCAGAUCAUGUCUGACCGGUAGGAGAGCAUUCCUGUCGGCGUCGAAGGGGUAUCGCGAGGUAUCCUGGAGCGUCAGGAAAAGCAAAUGUAGGCAUAAGUAACGAUAAUGGGGGCGAGAACCCCCCACGCCGCAAGACCAAGGAUUCCCCGGCAAUGUCAAUCAGCCGGGGGUCAGCCGGCCUCUAAGGCUCACCCGAGGGGGGAUGCCGACGAGAAACGGGUUAACAUUCCCGUGCUUCUCGUCACCGUGACGCGGUGACGGGGUGAUGAAUGGACCGCGCGCAGACGGAAUAGCGCGUUGAAGGCCGUACCCUUUGAGGGUGGUAGUCAAGCACGCCACCGGAGGCGACAGCCGAUAGUACCUCGAGGCCUCGGCCGAGGGGAUAGCGUCCAGGCAAUUAACCCCCUAGAAAACCCGCUAAACUUCAAGUGACGAGGAACCGUACCGUAAACGGACACACGUGGUCGGGUAGAACAUACCAAGGCGCUCGAGUGAUUCAUGGUCAAGGAACUAGGCAAAAUAGUCCUGUAACUUAGGGAUAAAGGACGCUCUAGUGAUAGAGCCGCAGAGAAAUGGCCCAGGCGACUGUUUACCAAAAACACAUGGCUAUGCCAAAUCGAAAGAUGACGUAUAUGGCCUGACACCUGCCCGGUGCCGGAAGGUUAAGAGGAGAGCUCAUCGGAAACGAGAAGGUUUGAAUUGAAGCCCCGGUAAACGGCGGCCGUAACUAUAACGGUCCUAAGGUAGCGAAAUUCCUUGUCGGGU
This 1962-nucleotide ribosomal RNA is filed under the name human gut metagenome. Its description in RNAcentral is "bacterial LSU rRNA". It matches the Rfam family "Bacterial large subunit ribosomal RNA", at positions 1 to 1977 of the family's 2925-position model. The record is from RNAcentral.